Mesocricetus auratus (golden hamster) is the source of this 65-nucleotide non-coding RNA. Lineage: Eukaryota; Metazoa; Chordata; Mammalia; Rodentia; Cricetidae. The record is from Rfam.
AUAUAGCUCAGUUGGUAAGAGUGUUUGCUUUGUGCACAGGAAGCCCUGGGUUCGAUUCCCAGCAU